AAAAAAGGUAAGCUACUAAGAGCGAAUGGUGGAUGCCUUGACUGGUAAAGGCGAUGAAGGACGUACUAGACUGCGAUAAGCUACGGGGAGCUGUCAAGAAGCUUUGAUCCGUAGAUUUCCGAAUGGGGCAACCCAAUGUAUAGAGAUAUACAUUACCUAUAUAGGAGCGAACGAGGGGAAUUGAAACAUCUUAGUACCCUCAGGAAAAGAAAUCAAUAGAGAUUGCGUCAGUAGCGGCGAGCGAAAGCGCAAGAGGGCAAACCCAGUGCUUGCACUGGGGGUUGUAGGACUGCAAUGUGCAAGAGGUGAGUUUAGCAGAACAUUCUGGAAAGUAUAGCCAUAGAGGGUGAUAGUCCCGUAUGCGAAAAACAAACCUUAGCUAGCAGUAUCCUGAGUAGGGCGGGACACGAGAAAUCCUGUCUGAAGCUGGGUCGACCACGAUCCAACCCUAAAUACUAAUACCAGAUCGAUAGUGCACAAGUACCGUGAGGGAAAGGUGAAAAGAACUGAGGUGAUCAGAGUGAAAUAGAACCUGAAACCAUUUGCUUACAAUCAUUCAGAGCACUAUGUAGCAAUACAGUGUGAUGGACUGCCUUUUGCAUAAUGAGCCUGCGAGUUGUGGUGUCUGGCAAGGUUAAGCAAACGCGAAGCCGUAGCGAAAGCGAGUCUGAAUAGGGCGCUUAGUCAGAUGCUGCAGACCCGAAACGAAGUGAUCUAUCCAUGAGCAAGUUGAAGCUAGUGUAAGAACUAGUGGAGGACUGAACCCAUAGGCGUUGAAAAGCCCCGGGAUGACUUGUGGAUAGGGGUGAAAGGCCAAUCAAACUUCGUGAUAGCUGGUUCUCUCCGAAAUAUAUUUAGGUAUAGCGUUGUGUCGUAAUAUAAGGGGGUAGAGCACUGAAUGGGCUAGGGCAUACACCAAUGUACCAAACCCUAUCAAACUCCGAAUACCUUAUAUGUAAUCACAGCAGUCAGGCGGCGAGUGAUAAAAUCCGUCGUCAAGAGGGAAACAACCCAGACUACCAGCUAAGGUCCCUAAAUCUUACUUAAGUGGAAAACGAUGUGAAGUUACUUAAACAACCAGGAGGUUGGCUUAGAAGCAGCCAUCCUUUAAAGAAAGCGUAAUAGCUCACUGGUCUAGUGAUUUUGCGCGGAAAAUAUAACGGGGCUAAAGUAAGUACCGAAGCUGUAGACUUGAUUUUAUCAAGUGGUAGGAGAGCGUUCUAUUUGCGUCGAAGGUAUACCGGUAAGGAGUGCUGGAGCGAAUAGAAGUGAGCAUGCAGGCAUGAGUAGCGAUAAUUAAUGUGAGAAUCAUUAACGCCGUAAACCCAAGGUUUCCUACGCGAUGCUCGUCAUCGUAGGGUUAGUCGGGUCCUAAGUCGAGUCCGAAAGGGGUAGACGAUGGCAAAUUGGUUAAUAUUCCAAUACCAACAUUAGUGUGCGAUGGAAGGACGCUUAGGGCUAAGGGGGCUAGCGGAUGGAAGUGCUAGUCUAAGGUCGUAGGAGGUUAUACAGGCAAAUCCGUAUAACAAUACUCCGAGAACUGAAAGGCUUUUUGAAGUCUUCGGAUGGAUAGAAGAACCCCUGAUGCCGUCGAGCCAAGAAAAGUUUCUAAGUUUAGCUAAUGUUGCCCGUACCGUAAACCGACACAGGUGGGUGGGAUGAGUAUUCUAAGGCGCGUGGAAGAACUCUCUUUAAGGAACUCUGCAAAAUAGCACCGUAUCUUCGGUAUAAGGUGUGGUUCGCUUCGUAUUAGGAUUUACUCCGAAAGCGAAGAAACUUACAACAAAGAGUCCCUCCCGACUGUUUACCAAAAACACAGCACUCUGCUAACUCGUAAGAGGAUGUAUAGGGUGUGACGCCUGCCCGGUGCUCGAAGGUUAAUUGAUGGGGUUAGCAUUAGCGAAGCUCUUGAUCGAAGCCCGAGUAAACGGCGGCCGUAACUAUAACGGUCCUAAGGUAGCGAAAUUCCUUGUCGGUUAAAUACCGACCUGCAUGAAUGGCGUAACGAGAUGGGAGCUGUCUCAAAGAGGGAUCCAGUGAAAUUGUAGUGGAGGUGAAAAUUCCUCCUACCCGCGGCAAGACGGAGAGACCCCGUGGACCUUUACUACAGCUUGACACUGCUAUUUGGAUAAGAAUGUGCAGGAUAGGUGGGAGGCUUUGAGUAUAUGACGCCAGUUGUAUAUGAGCCAUUGUUGAGAUACCACUCUUUCUUAUUUGGGUAGCUAACCAGCUUGAGUUAUCCUCAAGUGGGACAAUGUCUGGUGGGUAGUUUGACUGGGGCGGUCGCCUCCCAAAUAAUAACGGAGGCUUACAAAGGUUGGCUCAGAACGGUUGGAAAUCGUUCGUAGAGUAUAAAGGUAUAAGCCAGCUUAACUGCAAGACAUACAAGUCAAGCAGAGACGAAAGUCGGUCUUAGUGAUCCGGUGGUUCUGUGUGGAAGGGCCAUCGCUCAAAGGAUAAAAGGUACCCCGGGGAUAACAGGCUGAUCUCCCCCAAGAGCUCACAUCGACGGGGAGGUUUGGCACCUCGAUGUCGGCUCAUCGCAUCCUGGGGCUGGAGCAGGUCCCAAGGGUAUGGCUGUUCGCCAUUUAAAGCGGUACGCGAGCUGGGUUCAGAACGUCGUGAGACAGUUCGGUCCCUAUCUGCCGUGGGCGUAAGAAGAUUGAAGAGAUUUGACCCUAGUACGAGAGGACCGGGUUGAACAAACCACUGGUGUAGCUGUUGUUCUGCCAAGAGCAUCGCAGCGUAGCUAAGUUUGGAAAGGAUAAACGCUGAAAGCAUCUAAGCGUGAAGCCAACUCUAAGAUGAAUCUUCUCUAAGCUCUCUAGAAGACUACUAGUUUGAUAGGCUGGGUGUGUAAUGGAUGAAAGUCCUUUAGCUGACCAGUACUAAUAGAGCGUUUGGCUUAUCUUUAAUAAAGCAU
RNAcentral lists this ribosomal RNA (2923 nucleotides) under Campylobacter coli. RNAcentral's name for it is "23S ribosomal RNA". It matches the Rfam family "Bacterial large subunit ribosomal RNA". The record is from RNAcentral. Lineage: Bacteria; Pseudomonadati; Campylobacterota; Epsilonproteobacteria; Campylobacterales; Campylobacteraceae.